CCCUGGUGCUUUAUUUAAUUUCAUUGUAUUAAUAGCUGAAGUACAUUCUUCAAUUGUUACUUCUCCGUCACAAACUGAUUUGUCAACAUUAUUUGAAUUAUUUUCUAAUUCAGUUUCACAAAUAUAAUUUUCGACUAAAUCUUUUUUUUUGACAUUUAGAACUGUACAGUUUUUCAUAGUAUUGCUUAAUUUUUGUUAAUAAAUCGGCCUGGUCUGUUGUUAUAUUUCCAUUCUCGUCACUUAGUUUAUUUAUCGACUUUUUUACCUGUCUUUGUUUUUCUAAACCUAAAAAAUAUGCAUUAUUUUUUUCCCCAUAUUCAACCCAUUUCUCCCUUGACCUAACCUGUGCGCCUCUAGCUUUCUGUUCGUAUAUCUUAUCUAUUUUUAGUUCUAAAUCUUUUAUUUCUUCGUCUAAAUAUGCAUCUUCCCGUGGUAAUGCAUCUCUUAACUUAUUUUUCUCUUCCAGGUUUUUUUUCUAGUUCCCGACUUAAUUCUCUGUUUGCCUUUGCUUUAUUCUUACAAUAUGCUAUGCUUACCUCCCUUAUUUCUACUUUUAAAACGUCCCACAAUAAUUGACAAUCGAUAUUAUUAUUUCCAUUUGUAUAUUUAUGAAUAAGAUUACUGAUUAUCUCUUUGUAUUUUUCCUCUUUUAAAAUAGAGUUGUUAAUCUUCCAAUAUCCCUUACCUCUUUCUGACACACCAGUCCUAAUAC
Molecule: long non-coding RNA, 712 nt
Filed under: Mytilus galloprovincialis (Mediterranean mussel)
Lineage: Eukaryota; Metazoa; Mollusca; Bivalvia; Mytilida; Mytilidae
Source: RNAcentral